AUGAUGCACACAAGCUACGAGCAAGGUCAUGGACCUCGACCUCGCCCUGCGAGAGGCCUGUCGGCUGACGACGUGACAGACCCGUCGGUCGACAUCCCGUGCGACGUCGAGUCCAAGCCGGAACCCCAACACCCGCCGCCUGACGUCAUCGAGGAGCCCAAGCCACCGCCUGCCGUACACCCACCUGCCGAAGAGCCACUGGCUAAGGAGCCACCACCCACCGAGGAGCCUCCGGCGCCGGUCGACCCGCCUGUGGAACCGCCACCCAUGAAGGACCCACCAUCGAUUGAGGAGCCCAGGCCUGCUGCUGAACCACCUGCCAAGGAUCCGCCGGCGCCGGUUGAGGAGCCACUUCACGUGGAACCGCCUCCAGUGCUGGAGCCACAUCCCGUGGACCCAACACCUGUCCAGGAGCCACCUAGUGCACCACCAGCAGAGGCGAAGCCAUCCGAGGGCAGCGACGAAUCGAGCAGUAGCGCUGGCGAGGACAACGCCGAGGGGGGCCGCCGCAAGGGCAAGCAACGUCGUGGCAGGAGAGGACGACGGAGGCGCACGCAGCGUGCGAGGUUCCCGUUGGGCAUGUUGGUUGCUCCUGCCGUGAUCCUGCUCGCUGUCGCAGUGGCCGUGGCCAAGAGACGGCAGCAGCAGCGCGGUGGUUGA
RNAcentral lists this ribosomal RNA (660 nucleotides) under Triticum aestivum (bread wheat). RNAcentral describes it as "partial small subunit ribosomal RNA". Lineage: Eukaryota; Viridiplantae; Streptophyta; Magnoliopsida; Poales; Poaceae. The record is from RNAcentral.